RNAcentral lists this ribosomal RNA (253 nucleotides) under uncultured bacterium. Its description in RNAcentral is "partial 16S ribosomal RNA". It matches the Rfam family "Bacterial small subunit ribosomal RNA", at positions 524 to 776 of the family's 1533-position model. The record is from RNAcentral.
UACGUAGGGCGCAAGCGUUGUCCGGAAUCAUUGGGCGUAAAGAGCUCGUAGGCGGUCUGUCGCGUCCGCUGUGAAAUCCCGGGGCUUAACCCCGGGCGUGCAGUGGAUACGGGCUGGCUGGAGGCAGGCAGGGGAGAACGGAAUUCCCGGUGUAGCGGUGAAAUGCGCAGAUAUCGGGAGGAACACCGGUGGCGAAGGCGGUGCUCUGGGCCUUACCUGACGCUGAGGAGCGAAAGCGUGGGGAGCGAACAGG